GGGGUGUAUAGCUUAUUUAUUUACAAUAUUGCCCAUCAAUCUUUAUUCUGGUGAGCUAUUAGUGACAACCGGAGUCUCUGAUCUGAAAUCCCAAAUUAAGCACUUGACCCGGCUCAGUUUUACAAGAAGACUAGCUUCUGAGUUUGUUAGAAAGCCAAACUGUGUGAGUUGAAUGCAGAAAGUAGCUUUACUACUAGUUUGGUUUUAAAGAAUAUGCCACUUAAUUAUAUUUAUCCAGCAUUGUGCAAAUCAGUAGCGUAAUCACUGGACUCUGAACACUAAACCUUUGCGACAGCUCUGGUGUAAUUUAGGCUUUUGAUAUCAUAAUAAACCUAGGCUGGUGAAUCCUGUGAAUUCUGUAAUUGUUCAUUGUCAAGGAGUAUGAACUACAAUACAUUUAAAAUCAGUUUCAAAUCAGUG
This is a non-coding RNA of Pelobates cultripes (western spadefoot toad), 420 nucleotides long. Lineage: Eukaryota; Metazoa; Chordata; Amphibia; Anura; Pelobatidae. The record is from the annotation of a GenBank genome assembly.